UACUCCCUGGGAUGUUCGAUACUCCUGUAUUUUGAACCUACAUUAUUUAUACGGGAACUUUAUAUUUUCUAGUGGAUGUCACGCCCCCUUGUUGGGGAUCACUGAGGCUAGAUUGCGAGUACCCACCUAGCUAUGCUAGGGGUCAAAACUCAGGAAACGGCAUUUCGGGUAAAGU
This 175-nucleotide non-coding RNA is filed under the name Vallitaleaceae bacterium. Its description in RNAcentral is "6S / SsrS RNA". It matches the Rfam family "6S / SsrS RNA". Rfam says of the family: E. coli 6S RNA was the first non coding RNA to be sequenced, but its function was unknown until recently. It consists of 184 nucleotides that fold into an extended hairpin structure with a large single-stranded internal bulge. Lineage: Bacteria; Bacillati; Bacillota; Clostridia; Lachnospirales; Vallitaleaceae. The record is from Rfam by way of RNAcentral.